Molecule: ribosomal RNA, 422 nt
Filed under: uncultured archaeon
Lineage: Archaea
Description: partial 16S ribosomal RNA
Rfam family: Archaeal small subunit ribosomal RNA
Source: RNAcentral
CUACGGGUUGCUGCAGGCGAGAAAACUUUGCAAUGUGCGAAAGCACGACAAGGUUAAUCCGAGUGGUCUCUGCUAAAGGGACCUUUUGACAGUCCUAGAAACACUGUUGAAUAAGGGGUGGGCAAGUUCUGGUGUCAGCCGCCGCGGUAAAACCAGCACCUCAAGUGGUCAGGAUGAUUAUUGGGCCUAAAGCAUCCGUAGCCCGCUUUGCCAGUUUUCGGUUAAAUCCAUAUGCUCAACAUAUGGGCUGCCGGGAAUACUACAAAGCUAGGGAGUGGGAGAGGUAGACGGUACUCGGUAGGAAGGGGUAAUAUCCUUUGAUCUAUUGAUGACCACCUGUGGCGAAGGCGGUCUACCAGAACACGUCCGACGGUGAGGGAUGAAAGCUGGGGGAGCAAACCGGAUUAGAUACCCGAGUAGUC